UGAUCCGUUAGAUUUAACUGCCCUUACU
RNAcentral lists this non-coding RNA (28 nucleotides) under Bombyx mori (domestic silkworm). Lineage: Eukaryota; Metazoa; Arthropoda; Insecta; Lepidoptera; Bombycidae. The record is from RNAcentral.